Molecule: ribosomal RNA, 457 nt
Filed under: uncultured bacterium
Lineage: Bacteria
Description: bacterial SSU rRNA
Rfam family: Bacterial small subunit ribosomal RNA
Source: RNAcentral
AAUGAACGUUGGCGGCGUGGAUUAGGCAUGCAAGUCGAGCGAGAAGCUCUCUUCGGAGAGUGGACAGCGGCAAACGGGGUAGUAAGGCAUCGGUAACGUACCCCAGGACCAGGAUAGCCGCGGGAAACUGCGGGUAAUACUGGAUAAUAUCUCCGGAUCAAAUGGUGAGAUUCCGCCUGGGGACCGGCUGAUGUGAUACCAGCUAGUUGGUUGGGUAACGGCUGACCAAGGCUUAGACGUCUAGGGGUGUGAGAGCAUGGCCCCCACCACUGGGACUGAGACACUGCCCAGACACCUACGGGUGGCUGCAGUCGAGAAUCUUCGGCAAUGGGCGAAAGCCUGACCGAGCGACGCCGCGUGCGGGAUGACGGCCCUUGGGUUGUAAACCGCUGUCAGAGGGGAUGAAAUUCUAGAAGGCUAUCCUUCUAGUUUGACAAAGCCUCAGAGGAAGCCCGGG